AGAGUUUGAUCCUGGCUCAGGAUUAACGCUGGCGGCGUGCCUAACACAUGCAAGUCGAACGAGGUAGCAAUACCUAGUGGCAGACGGGUGAGUAACGCGUGGUCAACCUGCCCUUGAGCGGGGGAUAACUAGCCGAAAGGUUAGCUAAUACCGCAUACGUCUAGGAUGGCAUCAUCCAAAGAUAAAAGCCGCAAGGCACUCGAGGAGGGGACCGCGUCCCAUUAGUUAGUUGGUGGGGUAACGGCCUACCAAGACUCCGAUGGGUAGCUGGUUUGAGAGAGCGACCAGCCACACUGGGACUGAGAAACGGCCCAGACUCCUACGGGAGGCAGCAGUGAGGAAUUUUCCGCAAUGGGCGAAAGCCUGACGGAGCGACGCCGCGUGUGGGAAGAAGGCCUUCGGGUCGUAAACCACUGUCGAAGGGGACGAUAUUGACGGUACCCUUGGAGGAAGCCCCGGCUAACUACGUGCCAGCAGCCGCGGUAAGACGUAGGGGGCAAGCGUUAUUCGGAAUUAUUGGGCGUAAAGCGUUCGUAGGCUGGACAGGAAGUCCGUGAAGAAAGACCUGGGCUCAACUCAGGGAACGGCACGGAUACUCUUGUUCUUGAGACAUUCAGAGGAUGAUGGAAUUCCCGGUGUAGCGGUGAAAUGCGUAGAUAUCGGGAGGAACCCAGUGGCGAAGGCGAUCAUCUGGGGAUGUUCUGACGCUGAAGAACGAAAGCUAGGGGAGCAAACGGGAUUAGAUACCCCCGUAGUCC
Molecule: ribosomal RNA, 758 nt
Filed under: uncultured bacterium
Lineage: Bacteria
Description: bacterial SSU rRNA
Rfam family: Bacterial small subunit ribosomal RNA
Source: RNAcentral